This 1477-nucleotide unclassified non-coding RNA is filed under the name uncultured Neocallimastigales. RNAcentral describes it as "partial contains small subunit ribosomal RNA, internal transcribed spacer 1, 5.8S ribosomal RNA, internal transcribed spacer 2, and large subunit ribosomal RNA". The stretch from base 636 to 1477 matches the Rfam family "Eukaryotic large subunit ribosomal RNA", at positions 1 to 626 of the family's 3401-position model. The record is from RNAcentral. Lineage: Eukaryota; Fungi; Neocallimastigomycota; Neocallimastigomycetes; Neocallimastigales.
AAGGUUCCGUAGGUGAACCUGCGGAAGGAUCAUUAAAAAUGGAGUGGCCGUUGUUUUGGUCACCAUUAAUAAUCCUACCCUUUGUGAAUUGUUUGUGUAAUAAUUUUUUCCAAUGAAAAAAUUAUUUGUCUAUCCUGAAGAAAGUAGAAUAUACUUUUUUUUAGGGAGUAGAUUUUAAUAAUUUUUUCAGUGAAAAGACCUUUUUUUAAAUUAAACUUUGUAUUCAUUGUCUAAAUUGUAAAAAAAAUAUUUAAAAACAACUUUGACAAUGGAUCUCUUGGUUCUCGCAACGAUGAAGAACGCAGCAAAAUGCGAUAAGUAAUGUGAAUUGCAGAAUACGUGAAUCAUCAAAUCUUCGAACGCAUAUUGCACUUUUUAGUUUACUAAAAAGUAUGUCUGUUUGAGUAUCAGUAAAAUAUUCUCAUAAAAGCGUUGCGCUUUUUAUGGUUAUGAGUGUUUUACAACGAUAAACAAGUUGUUUCACUUUAAAUUCAUUUUUUAAAGCCAUCCGUUUUGGUUUUAAAAUAAUUAAAAUUGGAUAAAAUUUUCCUGUAAAAAGGAAUAACUAUUUCAGUUUUAGUUUUUUUAAAUCCAAGGCCAAGGCCAAACAAAGGAAUUUUCAGAUACAAUCAACUUGAUCUCAAAUCAGAUAAGAGUACCCGCUGAACUUAAGCAUAUCAAUAAGCGGAGGAAAAGAAACUAACAAGGAUUCCCUUAGUAACGGCGAGUGAAGCGGGAAGAGCUCAAAUUUGAAAUCUUCAAGGUUCUACCUUGACGAAUUGUAGUUUAAAGAAGUGUUUUCUGUUAGUGGAGUGGCAAAAGUUCUUUGGAAUAGGACAUCAUAGAGGGUGAGAAUCCCGUAUUUGGUCAUUCCUCCUAGCUUUGUGAUACACUUUCAAAGAGUCGGAUUGUUUGGGAAUGCAGUCCAAAAUGGGUGGUAAAUUUCAUCUAAAGCUAAAUACUGGCGAGAGACCGAUAGCGAACAAGUACCGUGAGGGAAAGAUGAAAAGAACUUUGAAAAGAGAGUUAAACAGUACGUGAAAUUGUCAAAAGGGAAGCGUUUGACACCAGUGUUGUUGUGGAGAAAUCAAUUGUGUGGAACGGGUUGUUGUGGGGUUGAGACCUUAUCAGCUCUCCUUACUCUUUACCUUUUUCAUGCAAUGCACUUUCUCUUUAACAAGUCAACAUCAAUUUCUUUUGUUGUAAAGGGUCAGCGGAAGGUGGCUUUCUUUUCGGAGAAAGUGUUUAUAGCCGUUGAUCUCUACAAUCGGAGAGAUUGAGGUCUGCAGCGUAAUCCUUCGGGGUUAGAUACGUCGGUGCUAAGUUAUAAUCCUAUAUAGACAACUUGUUGACUAUAUCGAUCAUGUAGCUUACUCGCUGCGCUAUUUACCUACGCUUAGGAUGUUGAAGAUGUAGCACAUCAUUCAGACGAUGCGUCAUGGAAGUAAAGUCGUAACAAGGUAGCCGUAUCGGAAGG